This 305-nucleotide ribosomal RNA is filed under the name uncultured bacterium. RNAcentral's name for it is "bacterial SSU rRNA". It matches the Rfam family "Bacterial small subunit ribosomal RNA", at positions 335 to 638 of the family's 1533-position model. The record is from RNAcentral.
UCUCCUACGGGGCGCAGCAGUGAGGAAUAUUGGUCAAUGGCCGGAAGGCUGAACCAGCCAAGCCGCGUGAGGGAGGAAGGCGCAGAGCGUCGCAGACCUCUUUUGCCGGGGGACAAAAGGCCGGACUCGUCCGGUCCUGAGGGUACCCGGAGAAAAAGCAUCGGCUAACUCCGUGCCAGCAGCCGCGGUAAUACGGAGGAUGCGAGCGUUAUCCGGAUUUAUUGGGUUUAAAGGGUGCGCAGGCGGCGAGUUAAGUCAGCGGUAAAAUUUCGGGGCUCAACCCCGACGAGCCGUUGAAACUGGCU